Bradysia coprophila is the source of this 404-nucleotide long non-coding RNA. The record is from RefSeq and is a predicted model, not a curated record. NCBI's taxonomy places the organism in Eukaryota, Metazoa, Arthropoda, Insecta, Diptera, Sciaridae.
GCAAACAUGAACCGAAAGGAUCAGCCGAACACUACAAAGUGAAGCAAACGAUGCACUCUAUGCCAAUAUUUCGACAGCGAAGGGUGGUGAGGACGUGUAUGCAGACUAUGAAAGUGUCGAUACUCCAAUGGUGGAGCGUAGAAAGAAUUGGUUCAGUCGACAAAUAUCUCGCAUGGGUUCAGUGCGGAGCUCGUCGACAGCCUAUUCGUCCGGUGGCGUAUUCAAGCGAAACCGUAACAACUCGGUUUAUGCUAAUCCCGAGGCGGUUUACCAGGACAGACUACUCAACCGCCUGCGCAUAAAAUGAGUUUGUACGAGAAAUUUGUGAGUCGGAAAUCGGAUCGACAACAGCGACAGUUUUUUGAAGCAAAAUUCCAAAUUAAAUCUGAACGGAGCACUCUCGA